This 267-nucleotide ribosomal RNA is filed under the name Escherichia coli. RNAcentral's name for it is "partial 23S ribosomal RNA". It matches the Rfam family "Bacterial large subunit ribosomal RNA", at positions 1 to 259 of the family's 2925-position model. Lineage: Bacteria; Pseudomonadati; Pseudomonadota; Gammaproteobacteria; Enterobacterales; Enterobacteriaceae. The record is from RNAcentral.
GGGUUGUGAGGUUAAGCGACUAAGCGUACACGGUGGAUGCCCUGGCAGUCAGAGGCGAUGAAGGACGUGCUAAUCUGCGAUAAGCGUCGGUAAGGUGAUAUGAACCGUUAUAACCGGCGAUUUCCGAAUGGGGAAACCCAGUGUGUUUCGACACACUAUCAUUAACUGAAUCCAUAGGUUAAUGAGGCGAACCGGGGGAACUGAAACAUCUAAGUACCCCGAGGAAAAGAAAUCAACCGAGAUUCCCCCAGUAGCGGCGAGCGAACG